AGUUAUUUAGCUUACACUAAAGCAUGUACUUUGAAAGUAUAAGACAGAAUAUAAUUUAAUAACUU
This 65-nucleotide transfer RNA is filed under the name Norvellina sp. EMHAU-15062816. RNAcentral's name for it is "tRNA-Ser". Lineage: Eukaryota; Metazoa; Arthropoda; Insecta; Hemiptera; Cicadellidae. The record is from RNAcentral.